RNAcentral lists this ribosomal RNA (253 nucleotides) under uncultured bacterium. RNAcentral's name for it is "partial 16S ribosomal RNA". It matches the Rfam family "Bacterial small subunit ribosomal RNA", at positions 524 to 776 of the family's 1533-position model. The record is from RNAcentral.
UACGUAGGGGGCAAGCGUUGUCCGGAUUUACUGGGCGUAAAGCGCGUGUAGGCGGAAGCGAAAGUCCGGUGUGAAAGCCCCCCGCUCAACGGGGGAAGGUCGCUGGAAACUGCGCUUCUUGAGGGCGGCAGAGGGAAGUGGAAUUGCUGGUGUAGCGGUGAAAUGCGUAGAGAUCUGGAGGAACACCGAUGGCGAAGGCAGCCCCCUGGGCUAACACUGACGCUCAUGCACGAAAGCGUGGGGAGCAAACAGG